UGAAUACGAGAUGCUACGGCGUCGAAGCAGUCUAUGUCAUACUUCCAAGAAAAGCUCGCACUGUCAUAAACAAAUAAUGCCUGUACCAUAACCGACACAGGUGGGUAGGUAGAGUAUACUAAGGGGCGCGAGAUAACUCUCUCUAAGGAACUCGGCAAAAUGACUCCGUAACUUCGGGAGAAGGAGUGCCUUAUUUAUAAGGUUGCAAUAACAAGAUCCAAGCAACUGUUUAUCAAAAACACAGGUCUCCGCUAAGUCGUAAGACGAUGUAUGGGGGCUGACGCCUGCCCAGUGCCAGAAGGUUAAAGAAGUUGGUUAGCAUUCGCGAAGCUGAUAACUGAAGCCCUGGUGAACGGCGGCCGUAACUAUAACGGUCCUAAGGUAGCGAAAUUCCUUGUCGGGUAAGUUCCGACCCGCACGAAAGGCGUAAUGAUUUGGAUACUGUCUCGGAGAGGGGCUCGGUGAAAUAGACUUGUCUGUGAAGAUGCGGACUACCUGCACCAGGACAGAAAGACCCUAUGAAGCUUUACUGUAACUUGAGAUUGAAAUUGGACUUUACUUGCGCAGUAUAGGUGGGAGGCGUUGAUAAUAUUCUUGCGGGAUUAUUUGAGCCAUCAGUGAGAUACCACUCUUGUAAUGUUAGAUUUCUAACUUUGUAUCAUUAUCUGGUCAAAGGACAGUUUCAGGCGGGCAGUUUGACUGGGGCGGUCGCCUCCUAAACGGUAACGGAGGCGCACAAAGGUUUCCUCUGAACGGGUAGAAAUCGUAUCUAGAGUGUAAAGGCAUAAGGAAGCUUGACUGUGAGACCUACAAGUCGAGCAGGGACGAAAGUCGGUCUUAGUGAUCUGACGGUGCUGAGUGGAAAGGCCGUCACUCAACGGAUAAAAGUUACUCUAAGGAUAACAGGCUGAUCUCCCCCAAGAGUUCACAUCGACGGGGAGGUUUGGCACCUCGAUGUCGGCUCAUCGCAUCCUGGGGCGGUAGUACGUCCCAAGGGUUGGGCUGUUCGCCCAUGAAAGCGGUACGCGAGCUGGGUUCAGAACGUCGUGAGACAGUUCGGUCCAUAUCCGGUGUAGGCGUUAGAAUAUUGAGAGGAGCCUUCUUUAGUACGAGAGGACCGAGAAGGACAUACCUCUGGUGUACCAGUUAUCGUGCCAACGGUAAACGCUGGGUAGCUAUGUAUGGAGUGGAUAACCGCUGAAAGCAUCUAAGUGGGAAGCCCACCUCAAGAUAAGUAUUCUC
Molecule: ribosomal RNA, 1242 nt
Filed under: metagenome
Description: bacterial LSU rRNA
Rfam family: Bacterial large subunit ribosomal RNA
Source: RNAcentral